This 72-nucleotide transfer RNA is filed under the name Phrynosoma platyrhinos (Desert horned lizard). RNAcentral describes it as "tRNA-OTHER". It matches the Rfam family "tRNA". From Rfam's summary of the family: Transfer RNA (tRNA) molecules are approximately 80 nucleotides in length. Their secondary structure includes four short double-helical elements and three loops (D, anti-codon, and T loops). Lineage: Eukaryota; Metazoa; Chordata; Lepidosauria; Squamata; Phrynosomatidae. The record is from RNAcentral.
GAAAGAAUUGCAUAGUGGUUUGAGCACUGGACUACAACUCUAGAGACCAGGGUUUGAUUCCCUGCUCAGGCA